Molecule: ribosomal RNA, 225 nt
Filed under: uncultured bacterium
Lineage: Bacteria
Description: partial 16S ribosomal RNA
Rfam family: Bacterial small subunit ribosomal RNA
Source: RNAcentral
GAACAACGCUGGCGGCGUGCCUAAUGCAUGCAAGUCGAACGGGAGCCUCUUCGGAGGUCGACCGUGGCGGACGGGUGAGGAACACGUGGGUAACCCAUCCGAGCGCGGGGGAUAACGGCGGGAAACCGUCGGUAAUACCCAUGAGCUUCAUCGUUGAUGGGAUGAUGAAGCAAAGGUCGAGAGACCGUGCUUGGCGGGGCCUGCGGCCUAUCAGCUAGAUGGGGG